This 253-nucleotide ribosomal RNA is filed under the name uncultured bacterium. RNAcentral's name for it is "partial 16S ribosomal RNA". It matches the Rfam family "Bacterial small subunit ribosomal RNA", at positions 80 to 334 of the family's 1533-position model. The record is from RNAcentral.
UUUCUUUGCUGGCGACCGGCGCACGGGUGAGUAACACGUAUCCAACCUGCCCUUUACUCGGGGAUAGCCUUUCGAAAGAAAGAUUAAUACCCGAUGGGAUAAUUAUUCCGCAUGGUUUGAUUAUUAAAGGAUUCCGGUAAAGGAUGGGGAUGCGUUCCAUUAGGUUGUUGGUGAGGUAACGGCUCACCAAGCCUUCGAUGGAUAGGGGUUCUGAGAGGAAGGUCCCCCACAUUGGAACUGAGACACGGUCCAA